This 467-nucleotide ribosomal RNA is filed under the name uncultured bacterium. RNAcentral's name for it is "partial 16S ribosomal RNA". It matches the Rfam family "Bacterial small subunit ribosomal RNA", at positions 28 to 507 of the family's 1533-position model. The record is from RNAcentral.
GACGAACGCUGGCGGCAUGCCUAACACAUGCAAGUCGAACGGAAAGGCCCUGCUUUUUCGGGGUGCCCGAGUGGCGCAGGGGUGAGUAACACGUGAGUAACCUGCCCUUGACUUGGGGAUGACUUCAGGAAACCGGGGCUAACACCGGAGAGGAGCUCCAGCUGCAUGGGGGGGGUCGGAAAGUUUGGUGGGUUGGGGACGGACUCGGGGUUAACGAGCUGGUGGGUGGGGUAGUGGCUUACCAAGGCUUGGACGGGUAGCCGGCCUGGAAGGGAGACCGGCAACAUGGUGCUAAGGGAGGGCCCAGUGGGCAACGGUGGGCAACGGGUGGGAAUAUUACACAAUGGGCGGAAGCCUGAUGCAGCAACGCCGCGUGCGGGAUGACGGCCUUCGGGUUGUAAACCGCUUUCGCCUGUGACGAAGCGUGAGUGACGGUAAUGGGUGAAGAAGCACCGGCUAACUACGUG